This 359-nucleotide long non-coding RNA is filed under the name Monodelphis domestica (gray short-tailed opossum). RNAcentral describes it as "lncRNA (ENSMODG00000040891.1)". Lineage: Eukaryota; Metazoa; Chordata; Mammalia; Didelphimorphia; Didelphidae. The record is from RNAcentral.
AUGCAAAAUGUCCAAUUCUACACUGAGGAUCAACAACUGUGCAUCCACAGAGGUUGCCCAACCUGUAGCACUCAGUUCAGCACUGAGGUCCCAGGACAACCCCAGGGGACUCAUAAUGAGCACAACCACAGAAGGAACCAUCAGUGUAUGAAUGCAGAUCAAAUCACACCAUGUCUUGUCUUAUUUCUUUCAUGAGUUUUUUCUUAAAUGUGUAAUAUAUGUCUUCUUUCACAACAUGAGGAAUUGGGAAAUUUAUAUUCCAUGACAUUGGGAAAACCUAUAUCAGACUGUCUGCUGCCUGGGAAGGGGAAAAGGAAGGGAGGGAGGAAAAGAACUUGGAUUGCAAAAGGUCAGAAAAU